UGCUGCCACUACUUUGUUUUGUGUUUGCUUGGUUUGUACUUGGGUGUCAAACAAUCUAAGGUACCCUACAGAAGGUGGCACAGCCUGUUCCCAAUGUUGAAGAAGGCGAAUUUCUUGAUAUUUUGAAAAUGUACAAGAAAUGUGCCCCAAAAGGAGCCUUACUAAUUCAAUUAUCUAACCUCCAAAGCAUUUCUCCUAUUGUACCUGAUGUAAAAAGUAUGUUAAAGACCAUGUGGAAUGAAGUCUUCUGUGGGCAGAGUUGUAAAUGAGACUGCUGCCAUAUUGGAUUACAUGAGCUAUUAUGAGUGUUAUUUCAUCUUCAAACAUUUGUGGGCAUGUAUAAUAAGUACAGGCAUACACCAUGGCAACUGAUUACAUCUGAUCGUAGCAACCAAUCAGCACACAAGAAGUGUUGAUUUCUUUCUCUUGCAUCAGUUCUGAGAUUUUGAGUGUUCGUCAUGCUUUGUUAUCGUCCCUGCAACAGAAUUCUGCCGAGAAUUUGUCCGGAGCUUGACAGUUUUGUUGCCUGACAGGUUUGGCAUAACUGAUCUGGCGUAGGCAGCACAUGCAAGCCAGUCGCGCUUUGCGCUAAGUGCAGUAACGGCCAUCUACAUAUCUUUUUUAAGAUAUCUACAUCAUAGCAAGUUGUAAUUUUGGGUGUGCCAGAGUGGGUGUUACAAUAGUUGGCAUAUGACAGAUUUGAACGCCUAAAACUAAGAAAUGGCUCCUUUGUUGACUAUGAAACGUUGCAAGCAAAUUCCCGGCAUGGUUGUGCUCAAACUCUGAGGUUUGGAUUUCGAAUA
This is a long non-coding RNA of Corticium candelabrum, 803 nucleotides long. RefSeq lists it as uncharacterized. The transcript is spliced from 3 exons. The record is from RefSeq and is a predicted model, not a curated record. NCBI's taxonomy places the organism in Eukaryota, Metazoa, Porifera, Homoscleromorpha, Homosclerophorida, Plakinidae.